RNAcentral lists this unclassified non-coding RNA (285 nucleotides) under plant metagenome. RNAcentral describes it as "partial contains small subunit ribosomal RNA, internal transcribed spacer 1, and 5.8S ribosomal RNA". The stretch from base 1 to 54 matches the Rfam family "Eukaryotic small subunit ribosomal RNA", at positions 1778 to 1831 of the family's 1831-position model. The record is from RNAcentral.
GGAAGUAAAAAUCGUAACAAGGUUUCCGUAGGUGAACCUGCGGAAGGAUCAUUAUUGUAUAACCGAGGUGCGAGGACUGUCGCUGACCCGAAAGGUCGUGCACGCCCGAGUGCCCUCACACACAUCCAUCUCACCCCUAUGUGCACCACCGCGUGGGUCCCCCUUUGGCUUGUUCGGAGGGGGGCUUACGUUUUCACACAAACUUUGUAUGCAGUGUAGAAUGUAUUUUUUGUUUUUGCGAUCACGCAAUCAAUACAACUUUCAACAACGGAUCUCUUGGCUCUC